Molecule: ribosomal RNA, 253 nt
Filed under: uncultured bacterium
Lineage: Bacteria
Description: partial 16S ribosomal RNA
Rfam family: Bacterial small subunit ribosomal RNA
Source: RNAcentral
UACGGGGGGGGCAAGCGUUGUUCGGAAUUACUGGGCGUAAAGGGCUCGUAGGUGGCCAACUAAGUCAGACGUGAAAUCCCCCGGCUUAACCGGGGAACUGCGUCUGAUACUGGAUGGCUUGAGUUUGGGAGAGGGAUGCGGAAUUCCAGGUGUAGCGGUGAAAUGCGUAGAUAUCUGGAGGAACACCGGUGGCGAAGGCGGCAUCCUGGACCAACACUGACACUGAAAAGCGAAAGCCAGGGGAGCAAACGGG